Molecule: ribosomal RNA, 475 nt
Filed under: uncultured bacterium
Lineage: Bacteria
Description: SSU rRNA
Rfam family: Bacterial small subunit ribosomal RNA
Source: RNAcentral
AGGAUGAACGCUGGCGGCGUGCUUAACACAUGCAAGUCGAACGGUGAAAGAGAGCUUGCUCUCUGGAUCAGUGGCGAACGGGUGAGUAACACGUGAGCAAUCUGCCCCUGACUCUGGGAUAAGCGCUGGAAACGGCGUCUAAUACCGGAUACGAGCUGCGAAGGCAUCUUCAGCAGCUGGAAAGAAUUUCGGUCAGGGAUGGGCUCGCGGCCUAUCAGCUAGUUGGUGAGGUAAUGGCUCACCAAGGCGUCGACGGGUAGCCGGCCUGAGAGGGUGACCGGCCACACUGGGACUGAGACACGGCCCAGGACUCCUACGGGAGGCAGCAGUGGGGAAUAUUGCACAAUGGGCGCAAGCCUGAUGCAGCAACGCCGCGUGAGGGACGACGGCCUUCGGGUUGUAACCUCUUUAGCAAGGAAGAAGCGAAAGUGACGGUACUUGACAGAAAAGCACCGGCUAACUACGUGCCAGCAGA